AUGGCUUCCCUCAUCUAUGCCAAGCCGGCCGGAGGGCAGGGAGAGGAGCUCCUGUUGAGGCGGCGGGGCUUGGUGCACGCUGGUUCCUCCGGAUCGACUCCCUACUCAGAUCUGCACGCCCCUGAUGAUUGGAGGUGUGCCUUUCACAUGUUCGUUGAGUUGCUUAAUGUCAUUUUUUUUUUAAAUCUGGAGUUAUGCAAUUGCAGCAACAAGGACGGAUGGCCAUCUUCACAGGUUAUGCCCCUUACUGUAAUUUGCAUUCAGUCAUGUGCAGUAAUAAUGCCAUAUUUGUUAGCCUGCUAG
RNAcentral lists this ribosomal RNA (303 nucleotides) under Triticum aestivum (bread wheat). RNAcentral describes it as "partial small subunit ribosomal RNA". Lineage: Eukaryota; Viridiplantae; Streptophyta; Magnoliopsida; Poales; Poaceae. The record is from RNAcentral.